GACGAACGCUGGCGGCGUACUUAACACAUGCAAGUCGAACGGUAAGGCCCUUCGGGGUACACGAGUGGCGAACGGGUGAGUAACACGUGGGUGAUCUGCCCUGCACUUCGGGAUAAGCCUGGGAAACUGGGUCUAAUACCGGAUAGGACCACUGCCUGCAUGGGUGGUGGUGGAAAGCUUUUGCGGUGUGGGAUGGGCCCGCGGCCUAUCAGCUUGUUGGUGGGGUGAUGGCCUACCAAGGCGACGACGGGUAGCCGGCCUGAGAGGGUGACCGGCAACACUGGGACUGAGAUACGGCCCAGACUCCUACGGGAGGCAGCAGUGGGGAAUAUUGCACAAUGGGCGCAAGCCUGAUGCAGCGACGCCGCGUGAGGGAUGACGGCCUUCGGGUUGUAAACCUCUUUCAGCACCGACGAAGCGCAAGUGACGGUAGGUGCAGAAGAAGGACCGGCCAACUACGUGCCAGCCGCCGCUGUAA
Molecule: ribosomal RNA, 478 nt
Filed under: uncultured bacterium
Lineage: Bacteria
Description: partial 16S ribosomal RNA
Rfam family: Bacterial small subunit ribosomal RNA
Source: RNAcentral